This is a long non-coding RNA of Cavia porcellus (domestic guinea pig), 634 nucleotides long. RefSeq lists it as uncharacterized. Lineage: Eukaryota; Metazoa; Chordata; Mammalia; Rodentia; Caviidae. The record is from RefSeq and is a predicted model, not a curated record. The transcript has 4 exons.
CUUCAUUCUUGAGCCAGCUGGCCGUACAUUCAGAGCAUGAGAGCUGGCAGUGACAGGAACUGAGUCCCUGACUGAGCCCCUGUCCAGGCCUUUCCCUGGGUCCAGAUCACAGUCGAGCUUCAGUCACAUCCAAGACCAGAGGACCUAGCAGUCAGGGCAGGAAGCCCUGGCAUAGGCCAUAGCACCAGCAUCCUCUGAGACCUGUGGGGCUGAGCGCUCGGCUCAGGGCUCAGCUUUCCUUCCAAGCUCCUACAGCACCUCCCAAGCUCCUACAACACCUCCAGAACCCCAGGUCUUCUUGCACUCAUCUAGCACUAUAUUGAGAGCUGAGACACCCCUGGAGCACCCCUCAGCCGAGACAUGAAGAAUGUCCCCGCUUCCCCCAGGACAAGGGUAACUGUGCUGCAAUGAGAUAAGAAGGAGGUUCAGAGAAGUCACACAACUUGCAACUUGCUUGGGGUCACACAGCUGUCUCCAGGAGGAAGAGAAACAAGAAGGUUGGAAGAUGUCUGUGUUUGGAGCAGCCUGUGAUGAUGGUCACAGUAACUUUUAACUUCUUUGAUGAAUGCUUUCAUCUCCUCGGAAAUUAAAAUUGUAAAUCAGGUACUCAUGAACAAGAUGAGGAGAAACUGAG